This 1757-nucleotide long non-coding RNA is filed under the name Sus scrofa (pig). RNAcentral describes it as "lncRNA (ENSSSCG00040063721.1, ENSSSCG00165020048.1)". Lineage: Eukaryota; Metazoa; Chordata; Mammalia; Artiodactyla; Suidae. The record is from RNAcentral.
GGAGUUCCCGUCGUGGCGCAGUGGUUAACGAAUCCGACUAGGAACCAUGAGGUUGCAGGUUCUGUCCCUGCCCUUGCUCAGUGGGUUAACCAUCUGGCGUUGCCGUGAGCUGUGGUGUAGGUUGCAGACGCGGCUCAGAUCCUGCGUUGCUGUGGCUCUGGCGUAGGCUGGUGGCUACAGCUCCGAUUCGACCUCCAUAUGCCGCGGGAGCGGCCCAAAGAAAUAGCAAAAAGACAAAAAAAAAAAAAAAGAAAAAUAUAAGAGAGUGUUAACAUCCCACUAGAUGAACUUAACCAGUGUGAGAUUAAAAAAAAUCAGAAAUUCUGCCAAGGAGUUCCCUUCGUGGCUCAGCAGUUAACGAACCUGACUAGGAUCCAUGAGGAUGUGGGUUCGAUCACUGGCCUGGCUCAGUGGGUUAAAGAUCUGGGUUGCUGUGAGCUACGGUGUAGGUUUCAGACUCAACUUGGAUCCCAGGUUGCUGUGCUGUGGUGUAGGCCAUCAGCUUUAGCUCUGAUUCGACCCCUAGCCUGGAAACUUCCAUAUGCUGCAGAUGCAGCCCUGAAAAGCAAAAAAAAGAAAAGAAAUUGCUGCCAAGUAAAUGUCAUGCCUCUCCUCCCCCUGACAGACUGUUCUAAGACCCUUAGCUACAUUGCCUUCAUCAGGUAGCUUAUUAGAUAUGCAGAGACUCAGGCCAAACCACAGACCUAUUGCAUCCAAUCUGUAUUUAAUAGGGUCCCUGGGAGAGUCAUACGUACACUAAAGUCUGAAAAGCAUUGCUCUAAGACGCAGCUGUUCCACAAACAAAACAAACUAAGCACCUAGGCAUCGCAUAGUCAAAUUACUUAAAACCAAGGAUAAAGAGAAAUCUCUAAGGCAGACAGAAAAAAAAAAGACCAAUUACAGUGGAACAAAGAUAAGAGUUUACAGCAGUCUUCUUGUCAGAGACUAUGCCAGUCAGAACACAGUAGAGUGACAUCUUUAAUGUACUAGAAGAACAAAAUGGUCAAAAAUAUCUUUCAAAAAUGAAACAUAGGAGUUCCUGCUGUGGUGCAGCAGAAAUGAAUCCGACCAGGAGCCAUGAAGUUGCGGGUUCGAUCCCUGGCCUCACUCAGUGGGUUAAGGAUCUGGCAUUGCCGUGAGCUGUGGUGUAGGUUGUGGCUCAGAUCCUGCAUCGCCGUGGCUGUGGCCAGCAGCUAUAGCUCGGAUUCAGCCCCUAGCCUGGGAACCUCCAGAUGCAGUGGGUGGGUAUGGCCCUUAAAAGCAACAACAACAAAACAUAAAGACUGUUUCCAACAAAAACUGAGAGAAUGAAUUAUAAAGCAACCCUGCACUCCUAGAAAUGUUAAAGAAAUUUCUUCCAACAGAAACAAUGUUAUAUCAGAAACUUGGAUCUGCCUAGAGAAGUAGAGUGCUAGAAAUGGCAAAAAUAAAGGUAAAAAGAAUUACAUUUUAUUUUCUCUAGAAAGAUUGACAAUUUACUACAGCAAAAAUAGUAUCACUAUAGUACAUGUAUAUAGUACAUGUAAAAUAAAACACAGCACAAUAGUAGCAUAAAAAAUGGGAGGCAGGAAUUGGGAGUGGACUGUUGGAAGACAUAGUAUUCUUUGAAGGCAGACUCAUGAACUAAAGAUCAACCAACUUGACCUGAGUGAGAUUUGUAGGAUACUCCGCCCCAAAAGAGAAUACAAAAUAUACUUUUGAGCCACAGCGUAAAUAAACUAGUUGUUCAUAACACAAAGCUAUCCUAAAAAAAAAAA